AUUAGAGAAAGACUAGAAAAACUUUUGUCUACUUUGUCUUAGCAUUGAGCUUGCUUACCCACAUUCUGGUUUGCAUGACCUAUUUUUUGUAUUUCAGCAUUUUGUGAACAACUUAUCACUGAUUUAACAAAGGCUUUGUGCUCAUGAAGUUCUUUGAAGGGGCGCUCUAUGGAAGUCCAGAGUAACGUGAAGCUGCUCUCGAUGAAGAAGUGAAGUGGGAAUUGAGGACUGCAACCUGCCACAACCAUCUUUACCACCAUGGUGAUGCCUAAAGGGACUUCCUUAUGUAAAAUUCUUCAGAAAAUACUGCUUGAAACCACUACCCUAGAAAAACGUGUUUGACAUGAAUGGCAUUCUCUUCUUUUAUGUACUUCUAACUCAGAACAGUUCAUAUUCAGUUGAAGAUGCUUUAUCCAGAGAAUGAUAACUACAGCAUUGUCUAAUGAAGUUUUAAUAGCAUUCCAUCCAAGGUGGACUUCCUGGAGUUGGAUAUAACCAGAGAACAAUUCAUAUGUAUCCUACACUGAAGAACCCCAUUAACUUUCAGAAACCUAAAACUAGUGGUACUGGAAGUACGUGACUUGGAAGUCUGUGUAAAUUGCCUGAGAGCUGGUAUUGAAGCUGAUGCCUCCUCGAGGCCAUCUUAGACCAAGUUGUUCGGUUGUUAACUAUGGUACUCCAUGUACAAAGGAUAACCAUUAACUAUGAAGCAGAAUUGAAAUACAAUUUUUCCUAAAGGGACUUGCAACCUGGUUAUUCAUUGUCUCGAGUUUCAAGUCAUUUUGAUGCAACUAGUAGUUAUUAAACUGCUCCAUGUCUUUUUGUUAUUUAAUAAAUACUCUUUCCAGGGCUUAAAAAACCAAAACUAAAUUUCUCCAACACGUCUGUACUUGUCUAUUCAAAAUUAACUACUCACCACUACAUGGAAGAGAUGAUUCUGAAGACACGCUCUUUGAGCAUCUUUUAUCAUACAUGUGACUUAAAAUGUGGCUGGACAGUUUCCCUCUACCCAGUGAAAUAUUUAAUGAUUAGCCUUCAUUCAUGCCUGAUACCAUCGAUAUAUAUGUAUGUGGUGGGCAAAGUUUGACAUAGGCAUUUGACUCUAGGAUGUGAUAGCUUGUUAGUCACUUCAAGUAGCAUAUUGUCAACCUGUUUGCUGGAAAAAUAGACUAACUUGGAAAAAUCUAUAAAUGGCAGCUAAGAAUUUUUUUCAGUAUUCCUGAGUUUCUGUCCUUGGGAUAUUUCAAUGGAAUUUCACCUGUCCCUUCACUGA
RNAcentral lists this long non-coding RNA (1273 nucleotides) under Rattus norvegicus (Norway rat). Its description in RNAcentral is "long non-coding RNA NONRATT010085". Lineage: Eukaryota; Metazoa; Chordata; Mammalia; Rodentia; Muridae. The record is from RNAcentral.